CGAACGCUGGCGGCAUGCCUAACACAUGCAAGUCGAACGAGCUCUUCGGAGUUAGUGGCGCACGGGUGCGUAACGCGUGGGAAUCUGCCCUUGGGUACGGAAUAACUCAGAGAAAUUUGUGCUAAUACCGUAUAAUGACUUCGGUCCAAAGAUUUAUCGCCCAAGGAUGAGCCCGCGUAAGAUUAGCUAGUUGGUGGGGUAAAGGCCUACCAAGGCUACGAUCUUUAGCUGGUCUGAGAGGAUGAUCAGCCACACUGGGACUGAGACACGGCCCAGACUCCUACGGGAGGCAGCAGUGGGGAAUAUUGGACAAUGGGCGAAAGCCUGAUCCAGCAAUGCCGCGUGAGUGAUGAAGGCCUUAGGGUUGUAAAGCUCUUUUACCCGGGAUGAUAAUGACAGUACCGGGAGAAUAAGCUCCGGCUAACUCCGU
RNAcentral lists this ribosomal RNA (430 nucleotides) under uncultured bacterium. Its description in RNAcentral is "bacterial SSU rRNA". It matches the Rfam family "Bacterial small subunit ribosomal RNA", at positions 30 to 506 of the family's 1533-position model. The record is from RNAcentral.